Molecule: long non-coding RNA, 235 nt
Filed under: Trifolium pratense (red clover)
Lineage: Eukaryota; Viridiplantae; Streptophyta; Magnoliopsida; Fabales; Fabaceae
Description: long non-coding RNA (TPRA_LNC013373)
Source: RNAcentral
UGUUUUCUUGACCUAUAUAAUCCUGAUGUAGAUUAUGAUGAUGCCGACGAGAAAGAUUAGGAGCUGGCUAGGUUUGUGUGAAGUUACAAUUGAUUAGUUAUGAUGAUGUUUUAAUUUGUAUUUUGGAUGGAUUAGUAUUAAUUAUUAUGAUGUUUUGUAUUUUGGAUUUCAAUGGUUAUACUUUAAUGACAUUAUUACUAUAUAUAUAUGUUGAAUGUUGAAUGUUGAAUUUGGC